CACACAUUAGCACCAUGUGCUAACUGUGGCUCAAGAACCACAUUUACCAAGACAACUAUCCAGUACAAAGCCCUAAAACACACCAAGAAACACAUUAAAGACGAUUUUACUGCUGGAAGCUGCAAGCCAACGCCUAAAGAACAAAUUAAAGCAAUGGAGCCAAACGGUUCAGUGGUGAAGACAAGCAGAGGAAAUGUUUGUCUGCAGCUAAAUAAAGCAGGAAGACACUGAGCUGCUCAGGUGUUCCUGAUAACACCAAGCAGCCACCUGGACAGCCAAUAGGAACACAGCUUACUGGAAGUCCAGAGGGCUGGGCUAGUGAAGGAAAUUUAGUUUAAAGUUGAAGCAGAAAGUUAACAAAGAAAGUUGAAAACCACCUUCUGAUACCUGAAAUCUCUGAGUUUUCACACAAAGAACACCUGAACAUGUCAAACUGUUUCCAUAGUAGAACCAUCAUUGUAAAAACGUCAUAGUAUGGUGUGUUGCUCAAAAAACAUUACAACCCGGCUGUCUAGAGUCACAGAGGAGCAACACAAAAACAGGACAAACGCUGGUUUCCAGGGGGUUAGGCAGCUAUUUAUUUGAAAGAGUAAGUUUACAACAACACAACAUGUGAGCAGAAAAAUCACAAAGUCUGUCUUUAGUUCAGCUGAAAAUAUUAGUUUUUGUCUUUUUUAUUGACCAAACUUUUCAGGAAGUAGAUGAAGAAUAAUUAAAGCUCUCAUGUAGAAGUCCAACUUAUUUUGGAUCCUUGUGGAGAGUUUAAUCUUAGAGUUUGUAAAGCUGUUGAGUUUUUAGAGUCACAUGGAUUGUUUUGACAUUUAAUAACCGAGUCCUGAAAUAAAAUUACAGUUGUGGAUUUCUGUCAUUUAGUCUGGACUAAAACAACAGCAGCAUAAAUCUCAAAGGUCAUUAUGAGGAGUCUGGAUUGAGGUUUCUCACUUGAUAAUGAUCAAAACAUGAAAUUUAGGUUGGUUUAAAGGAAUAUUCCACCUUAAAUCUUUGAAUGUUGACCUAAAAGGUUGGUUUCAAUUCAAUUCCAAUUCAAUUCAAUUUUAUUUAUAUAGUGUCAAUUACAGUCAAAUUGUCUCGAGACGCUUUACAGAACCCAUAUGCCUGACCCCCAGAGCAAGCCAAAAGGCGACAGUGGCAAGGAAAACACCCUUUUAACAGGGAAAAAAACCUCGAGCAGAACCCGGCUCUAAUGUGGGGGGACCCAUCUGCCUGCUGGCCGGGCGGGUUGAGAGGGACAGAAGAGGUAGAAAGGUAGAGAUAGAGGGGUAGAGAUAGAGGUAGAGGGUUACAGUUGGUGGGAGAACAACUACACAUCUGAAGCAUCCAGCUCUGGGACCAGGGACACUCAGAGAAAGGACACAGGGAGUAUUCCACCUACAAGGUCCUCAAACAUCCACCUUAAAAGGACAUUCCACCAAAAAUCCUUGGACAUGCACCUAAAAUGUUGGUUUAACCGAAUAUUCCAUCCAAAAUCCUCAAAGAGACCUGAGGGGCUGGUUAAAAGGAAUAUUCCACCUAAAACCUCAAAUAUAGACCCAAAAGGGUGGUUUAGAAAAAAUCCUUCAAUGUAGACCAAAAAAGUUAGUAUGGGGGAAUAUUCCACCUGAAAUGUAGACCUGAGAAGUUGGUUUGGAAGAAUAUACCAUCCUAAACAUCCUUAAAUGUAGACUAAAAGAUGGUUUGGAAGAAAAUUCCACCUAAAAUCCUC
Amphiprion ocellaris (clown anemonefish) is the source of this 1723-nucleotide long non-coding RNA. The record is from Ensembl. NCBI's taxonomy places the organism in Eukaryota, Metazoa, Chordata, Actinopteri, Pomacentridae.